GACGAACGCUGGCGGCGUGCCUAACACAUGCAAGUGGAGCGACGAACCGGGCUUCGGCCCGGGGCAAAGCCGCGAACGGGUGAGUAACACGUGGGUAACCUGCCCCGAUGAUUGGGACAACCCGAGGAAACUCGGGCUAAUACCGAAUGUGCCCUCCGGCCACAAGGCCGCUGGGGAAAGGAAGCUUCGGCCUCCGCAUCGGGAUGGGCCCGCGGCCCAUUAGCUUGUUGGUGAGGUAACGGCUCACCAAGGCGAUGAUCUGUAUCCGGCCUGAGAG
RNAcentral lists this ribosomal RNA (277 nucleotides) under uncultured bacterium. RNAcentral's name for it is "partial 16S ribosomal RNA". It matches the Rfam family "Bacterial small subunit ribosomal RNA", at positions 28 to 298 of the family's 1533-position model. The record is from RNAcentral.